RNAcentral lists this ribosomal RNA (1385 nucleotides) under Microbacterium esteraromaticum. Its description in RNAcentral is "bacterial SSU rRNA". It matches the Rfam family "Bacterial small subunit ribosomal RNA". Lineage: Bacteria; Bacillati; Actinomycetota; Actinomycetes; Micrococcales; Microbacteriaceae. The record is from RNAcentral.
UGGCGGCGUGCUUAACACAUGCAAGUCGAACGAUGAAGCCCAGCUUGCUGGGUGGAUUAGUGGCGAACGGGUGAGUAACACGUGAGCAACCUGCCCCUGACUCUGGGAUAAGCGCUGGAAACGGCGUCUAAUACUGGAUAUGUCCCGUCACCGCAACCAAGGCGUCGACGGGUAGCCGGCCUGAGAGGGUGACCGGCCACACUGGGACUGAGACACGGCCCAGACUCCUACGGGAGGCAGCAGUGGGGAAUAUUGCACAAUGGGCGGAAGCCUGAUGCAGCAACGCCGCGUGAGGGAUGACGGCCUUCGGGUUGUAAACCUCUUUUAGCAGGGAAGAAGCGAAAGUGACGGUACCUGCAGAAAAAGCACCGGCUAACUACGUGCCAGCAGCCGCGGUAAUACGUAGGGUGCAAGCGUUAUCCGGAAUUAUUGGGCGUAAAGAGCUCGUAGGCGGUCUGUCGCGUCUGCUGUGAAAUUCCGAGGCUCAACCUCGGGCUUGCAGUGGGUACGGGCAGACUAGAGUGCGGUAGGGGAGAUUGGAAUUCCUGGUGUAGCGGUGGAAUGCGCAGAUAUCAGGAGGAACACCGAUGGCGAAGGCAGAUCUCUGGGCCGUAACUGACGCUGAGGAGCGAAAGGGUGGGGAGCAAACAGGCUUAGAUACCCUGGUAGUCCACCCCGUAAACGUUGGGAACUAGUUGUGGGGUCCUUUCCACGGAUUCCGUGACGCAGCUAACGCAUUAAGUUCCCCGCCUGGGGAGUACGGCCGCAAGGCUAAAACUCAAAGGAAUUGACGGGGACCCGCACAAGCGGCGGAGCAUGCGGAUUAAUUCGAUGCAACGCGAAGAACCUUACCAAGGCUUGACAUACACGAGAACGGGCCAGAAAUGGUCAACUCUUUGGACACUCGUGAACAGGUGGUGCAUGGUUGUCGUCAGCUCGUGUCGUGAGAUGUUGGGUUAAGUCCCGCAACGAGCGCAACCCUCGUUCUAUGUUGCCACGUAAUGGUGGGAACUCAUGGGAUACUGCCGGGGUCAACUCGGAGGAAGGUGGGGAUGACGUCAAAUCAUCAUGCCCCUUAUGUCUUGGGCUUCACGCAUGCUACAAUGGCCGGUACAAUGGGCUGCAAUACCGUAAGGUGGAGCGAAUCCCAAAAAGCCGGUCCCAGUUCGGAUUGAGGUCUGCAACUCGACCUCAUGAAGUCGGAGUCGCUAGUAAUCGCAGAUCAGCAACGCUGCGGUGAAUACGUUCCCGGGUCUUGUACACACCGCCCGUCAAGUCAUGAAAGUCGGUAACACCUGAAGCCGGUGGCCUAACCCCUUGUGGGAGGGAGCUGUCGAAGGUGGGAUCGGUAAUUAGGACUAAGUCGUAACAAGGUAGCCGUACCG